Molecule: ribosomal RNA, 490 nt
Filed under: uncultured bacterium
Lineage: Bacteria
Description: partial 16S ribosomal RNA
Rfam family: Bacterial small subunit ribosomal RNA
Source: RNAcentral
AUUGAACGCUGGCGGCAUGCCUUACACAUGCAAGUCGAACGGCAGCAUGAUCUAGCUUGCUAGAUUGAUGGCGAGUGGCGAACGGGUGAGUAAUACAUCGGAACGUGCCCUGUAGUGGGGGAUAACUAGUCGAAAGAUUAGCUAAUACCGCAUACGACCUGAGGGUGAAAGUGGGGGAUCGCAAGGCCUCAUGCUAUAGGAGCGGCCGAUGUCUGAUUAGCUAGUUGGUGAGGUAAAGGCUCACCAAGGCGACGAUCAGUAGCUGGUCUGAGAGGACGAUCAGCCACACUGGGACUGAGACACGGCCCAGACUCCUACGGGAGGCAGCAGUGGGGAAUUUUGGACAAUGGGCGAAAGCCUGAUCCAGCAAUGCCGCGUGUGUGAAGAAGGCCUUCGGGUUGUAAAGCACUUUUGUCCGGAAAGAAAUGGCUCUGGUUAAUACCUGGGGUCGAUGACGGUACCGGAAGAAUAAGGACCGGCUAACUACGUG